GAACUAGAGUGCCGGCGCUGUCGGGGAGCUCCUGCCCUGACAUUGCUGGCUUUGAAGAUGGUGGAAGGAGAUCAAUCAAGGAAGCAGGUGGCCUCUAAAAGCUGGAAAAAGUACAGAGAGCCUCCACCUUGAUCUUGGCCCAGUUAGAACCCUGUCAGGCUUCCUUCUACUGAGCUGUAAAGGAUGAUUAACCCUGAGCUAACAUCUACUGCCCAUCCUCCUUUCUUUGCUGAGGAAGACGGGCCGGGAGCUAACAUCUGUGCCCAUCUUCCUCUAUUUUAUAUGUGGGAUGCCUGCCACAGCAUGGCUUGACAAGUGGUGCAUAGGUCCACACCCAGGAUCCGAACAGGUAAAAUCUGGGCUGCAGAAGUGGAAUGUGAGAACUUAACUGCUGUGCCACUUGGCUGGCCCCUAAAGAUUAGCCCUGGGCUAAUAUCUGCCACCAAUCCUCCUGUUUUUGCUGAGGAAGACCAACCCUGAGCUAACAUCAGUGCCUAUCUUCCUUUACUUUAUAUAUGGGACGCCUGCCACAGCAUGGCUUCACAAGCAGUAUCCAAGCAGUGAACCGCUGGCCAUCAAAGCUGAAUGUGUGAACUUAACCACUGUGCCACUGGGCCGGCCCCCCACCAUCAUUUUGUAUAAGAUUAUUCUUUCAUCAACUAUAUUAUACAGUGCCAUGUUUUUCUUUGAUCAAAUAUCCAUAUGUGCUUGAGUCUGUAUUGAGUUUUUAUUCCAUUGGUCUAUUUCUCUGUUCUUGCACAAAUACCAUGCUAUCUUAAUUACUAUUAGUUAUUAUUAUUAUUUUUUCCACGUGGCUAAUCAGUUGUAUAAGAUCUCUUUGAAUAGUCCAAAACUUGCACAGUAAUCUGAAAUAUCAACUUUGUAUCAACUUUUUUAUACAAAGUAUUUGUAUAAAAUAUGUAUCUAUUUGUAUACUCUGUAUUCAGUUUCAUUGGUCCGUAUUUUUAUUAUUCAUAGUGUGGAAAUUAGUGUAGUUUAAUAAGAAUAGACGUUUGAUAU
RNAcentral lists this long non-coding RNA (1020 nucleotides) under Equus asinus (donkey). Its description in RNAcentral is "lncRNA (ENSEASG00005024475.1)". The record is from RNAcentral. Lineage: Eukaryota; Metazoa; Chordata; Mammalia; Perissodactyla; Equidae.